UACGAAGGGGGCGAGCGUUGUUCGGAAUUACUGGGCGUAAAGGGCGCGCAGGCGGCUCUGAAAGUCAGAUGUGAAAGCCCCGGGCUUAACCUGGGAAUUGCAUUUGAUACUCUGGAGCUUGAGUACGGGAGAGGAGAGUGGAAUUCCCAGUGUAGAGGUGAAAUUCGUAGAUAUUCGGAAGAACACCAGUGGCGAAGGCGGCUCACUGGCCCGAUACUGACGCUGAGGCACGAAAGCGUGGGGAGCAAACAGG
This 253-nucleotide ribosomal RNA is filed under the name uncultured bacterium. Its description in RNAcentral is "partial 16S ribosomal RNA". It matches the Rfam family "Bacterial small subunit ribosomal RNA", at positions 524 to 776 of the family's 1533-position model. The record is from RNAcentral.